RNAcentral lists this ribosomal RNA (253 nucleotides) under uncultured bacterium. Its description in RNAcentral is "partial 16S ribosomal RNA". It matches the Rfam family "Bacterial small subunit ribosomal RNA", at positions 524 to 776 of the family's 1533-position model. The record is from RNAcentral.
UACGUAGGGUCCGAGCGUUGUCCGGAGUUACUGGGCGUAAAGCGCGCGCAGGCGGCGGUGCUGGCCCGGCGUGAAAGCCCCCGGCUCAACCGGGGAGAGUCGUCGGGGACCGCACCGCUUGAGGGCGGUAGGGGCUGGUGGAAUGCCUGGUGUAGUGGUGAAAUGCGUAGAGAUCAGGCAGAACACCUGGGGCGAAGGCGGCCAGCUGGGCCGUCCCUGACGCUGAGGCGCGAAGGCGUGGGGAGCGAUCCGG